CGCUGGCGGAAUGCUUUACACAUGCAAGUCGAACGGCAGCAUGGGCUUCGGCCUGAUGGCGAGUGGCGAACGGGUGAGUAAUGCGCCGGAACGUAUCCAGUAGAGGGGGAUAACGCAGCGAAAGCUGUGCUAAUACCGCAUACGCCCUGAGGGGGAAAGCAUGGGAUCUUCGGACCAUGCGUUAUUGGAGCGGCCGACGUCUGAUUAGCUAGUAGGUGAGGUAAAGGCUCACCUAGGCGAUGAUCAGUAGCUGGUCUGAGAGGAUGAUCAGCCACACUGGAACUGAGAGACGGUCCAGACUCCUACGGGAGGCAGCAGUGGGGAAUUUUGGACAAUGGGCGCAAGCCUGAUCCAGCCAUUCCGCGUGAGUGAAGAAGGCCUUCGGGUUGUAAAGCUCUUUCGGCAGGGAAGAAAAGGUUCUGGUUAAUAACUGGAACUGCUGACGGUACCUGAAGAAGAAGCACCGGCUAACUACGUGCCAGCAGCCGCGGUAAUACGUAGGGUGCGAGCGUUAAUCGGAAUUACUGGGCGUAAAGGGUGCGCAGGCGGCUCUGUAAGUCUGACGUGAAAUCCCCGGGCUUAACCUGGGAACUGCGUUGGAAACUGUAGAGCUAGAGUGUAGCAGAGGGGGGUAGAAUUCCACGUGUAGCAGUGAAAUGCGUAGAGAUGUGGAGGAAUACCGAUGGCGAAGGCAGCCCCCUGGGUUAACACUGACGCUCAGGCACGAAAGCGUGGGUAGCAAACAGGAUUAGAUACCCUGGUAGUCCACGCCCUAAACGAUGUCAACUAGUUGUUGGGGAGGGAGACCUCCUUGGUAACGCAGCUAACG
This 829-nucleotide ribosomal RNA is filed under the name uncultured bacterium. RNAcentral describes it as "bacterial SSU rRNA". It matches the Rfam family "Bacterial small subunit ribosomal RNA", at positions 34 to 857 of the family's 1533-position model. The record is from RNAcentral.